GACGAACGCUGGCGGCGUGCUUAACACAUGCAAGUCGAACGGUGAAGGGACUGGUUUUGCUGGUCCUGGAUGAGUGGCGAACGGGUGAGUAACACGUGAGUAACCUGCCCCCUUCUUCUGGAUAACCGCAUGAAAGUGUGGCUAAUACGGGAUAUUCUGGGUCUGUCGCAUGGUGGGCCUGGGAAAGAUUGCGCCUUUUUUGGUGUUUUUGGUGGGGGAUGGGCUCGCGGCCUAUCAGCUUGUUGGUGGGGUGAUGGCCUACCAAGGCGGUGACGGGUAGCCGGCCUGAGAGGGUGGACGGUCACACUGGGACUGAGACACGGCCCAGACUCCUACGGGAGGCAGCAGUGGGGAAUAGUGCACAAUGGGCGCAGGCCUGAUGCAGCGACGCCGCGUGAGGGAUGGAGGCCUUCGGUUUGUGAACCUCUUUCGCCAGUGAAGCAGGCCUGCCUCUUUUUGUGGGUGGGUUGACGGUAGCUGGAUAAGAAGCGCCGGCUAACUACGUG
Molecule: ribosomal RNA, 506 nt
Filed under: uncultured bacterium
Lineage: Bacteria
Description: partial 16S ribosomal RNA
Rfam family: Bacterial small subunit ribosomal RNA
Source: RNAcentral